UGGCUCAAUCGAUUUUAUCUCGUUAUGUUUGAUUUAUGGAUAUAUUUAUCGAUGUAAUUUAGAUAAUGUGAUUCACGCACCGCAUGGUUGAUUAAUUUAUCUCGAAACGACAAUAAACACAAAAAUAUACUCUUGCUCUGGAAAUUAUCUACUCAGAAUUACAAUUUAGUUUUCGUUGUUAUACCGUAUGUCCGUGUAGUCCGU
Cinara cedri is the source of this 204-nucleotide non-coding RNA. The record is from the annotation of a GenBank genome assembly. Lineage: Eukaryota; Metazoa; Arthropoda; Insecta; Hemiptera; Aphididae.